CUUAUGCCGGCGACCGGCGGACGGGUGCGUAACGCGUAUGUAACCUACCUUUGACAGGGGGAUAACAUCGAGAAAUUGGUACUAAUACCCCAUAACAUCACCGGAGGCAUCUUCGGUGGUUGAAAACUCAGGUGGUCAGAGAUGGACACGCGUUGUAUUAGCUAGUUGGUGAGGUAACGGCUCACCAAGGCGACGAUACAUAGGGGGACUGAGAGGUCAACCCCCCACAUUGGUACUGAGACACGGACCAAACUCCUACGGAAGGCAGCAG
RNAcentral lists this ribosomal RNA (271 nucleotides) under uncultured bacterium. RNAcentral describes it as "partial 16S ribosomal RNA". It matches the Rfam family "Bacterial small subunit ribosomal RNA", at positions 78 to 354 of the family's 1533-position model. The record is from RNAcentral.